RNAcentral lists this ribosomal RNA (468 nucleotides) under uncultured bacterium. RNAcentral describes it as "partial 16S ribosomal RNA". It matches the Rfam family "Bacterial small subunit ribosomal RNA", at positions 28 to 507 of the family's 1533-position model. The record is from RNAcentral.
GACGAACGCUGGCGGCGUGCCUAACACAUGCAAGUCGAACGGAAAGGCCCUGCUUUUGUGGGGUUCUCGAGUGGGGAGCGGGUGAGUAACACGUGAGUAACCUGCCCUUGACUUUGGGAUAACUUCAGGAAACUGGGGCUAAUACAGGAUAGGAGCUCCUGCUGCAUGGUGGGGGUUGGAAAGUUUCGGCGGUUGGGGAUGGACUCGCGGCUUAUCAGCUGGUUGGUGGGGUAGUGGCUUACCAAGGCUUUGACGGGUAGCCGGCCUGAGAGGGGGACCGGCGACCUUGGGACUGCGAUACGGACCAGACGCGAAUGGGAGGCAGUGGUGGGGAGUCUUACACAGCGGGGGGAAGUGUGAUGCGACAACGCCGCGAGCGGGAAGCCCGGCUUCGGGUUGUGAACCGCUUUCGCCUGUGACGAAGCGUGAGUGACGGUACCGGGUAAAGAAGCACCGGCUAACUACGUG